CAGCCCCUAGUCCUAACCAACCAGCUAUCCCUCUGGUUCACCUGAGCUGGAAGACAGCCCACCACCAUAAGGUUAUAAACACCUUUGCAAGGGGAAGACAGGCUCUCUAAGCACUUGGGAACUUGCAGCUGUGGGAAAGAAAAAGUCAAGAGUCAACAGGUGUGGUGGCCAACGCCUUUAAUCCCAGCAAGAAGGUUGUUCCUGCUACAAGGCCCAGGUGACGGUAUCUACGUUCCAAGGAUAUGCAUUCCUGUCAGGGUGCUGAGCAGGGCCGGGCAGGCAACACAAGGCAAGUCUGGACUACUGGAAAGCAAAAAAAAAAAAAAAAGUCACAGGACAGCGAAGCUCCAGUAAUUGCUGCCUCUCUUUGAACUUCACCACCGUGCCUAAGGACUUCCAGAAGGAAGACGCCAGAAAGUCGGUUAAGGAACACAAAGACUCAGUAAACAAGUCAGGGUCAAGGCCAAAAAGAAGUAGUCCAAAGGCAAAGCUCAGGACAAGUUCAACAACCUAGUCCUGUUUGACAAAGCUACUUACAACAAGUUCAGCAAGGAGUUCCCAACUGUAAGUUUACUCCCCUAGCUGUGGAUCCUGAGAGAUCCAAGCCCAGCCCUUCAAGGCUCUCCUAGUGAAGGACUUGUCAAACCACUUUCAAAGCACAGAACUCAAGUAAUUUAUACCAGAAAUACUAAGAGUGAAAAAUCCCCCAGCUUCUGGUGA
Jaculus jaculus (lesser Egyptian jerboa) is the source of this 720-nucleotide long non-coding RNA. RefSeq lists it as uncharacterized. Lineage: Eukaryota; Metazoa; Chordata; Mammalia; Rodentia; Dipodidae. The transcript is spliced from 4 exons. The record is from RefSeq and is a predicted model, not a curated record.